GAUGAACGCUGGCGGCGUGCUUAACACAUGCAAGUCGAACGGGAAACCUUUUAAUGAAUCUUCUGCAGCUUUAGCUGUUUUCUAGUGGCGGACGGGUGAGUAACGCGUGGUUAACCUGCCUUAUACAGGGAGAUAACAGUCAGAAAUGACUGCUAAUACCGCAUAAGCGCACAGGACCGCAUGUUCCGGUUUGCAAAACUCCGGUGGUAUACGAUGGACCCGCGUUGGAAUAGCUUGGUGGUGGGGUAACGGCUCACCAAGGAGACGGUCCAAGGCCGGCAUGAGAGGGUGAACGGCAAAAUUGGGACAGAGACACGGCCCAGACACCUGCGGGAGGGAGCAGGGGGAAUAUUGCAAAAUGGGGGAAACCAUGAUGGAGCGACGCCGCGAGAAGGAAGAAGUAUCUCGGUAUGUAAACUUCGAUCAGCAGGGAAGAUAGUGACGGUACCUGAAGAAGAAGCACCGGCUAACUACGUG
This 477-nucleotide ribosomal RNA is filed under the name uncultured bacterium. RNAcentral's name for it is "partial 16S ribosomal RNA". It matches the Rfam family "Bacterial small subunit ribosomal RNA", at positions 28 to 507 of the family's 1533-position model. The record is from RNAcentral.